This 363-nucleotide long non-coding RNA is filed under the name Trifolium pratense (red clover). RNAcentral's name for it is "long non-coding RNA (TPRA_LNC013924)". Lineage: Eukaryota; Viridiplantae; Streptophyta; Magnoliopsida; Fabales; Fabaceae. The record is from RNAcentral.
UUCAAGUGUUGGCUUUCCAUCCUUGUCCAUGACCAUAGGGGGGUCCCAUCCUUUCAGAACAGCCUUCCAAGUUUUGCUAUCCAUAGAUUUUAGGAAAGCAAUCAUACGUGAUUUCCAAUAAUCAUAGUUGGAGACACCAACUAGAAGCGGUGGUCUGCUUACAAGCCCUCCUUCUUUUUCCAUGUUGCCAGACAUUCUCCCUGGAGCUCACCCUAUAACCAGAAAGGGUGCCCGCUCUGAUGCCAAUUGAAAUCUGGCACGCAGUGAACACAAUGCUGCACAAGAUGCUAUAGCACACGUUGCAGCAAGACAGUCGCAGAACACAGUAAAUAAAUAAAUAAAUUGCAGAACAAUAAAUAAGAC